This 389-nucleotide ribosomal RNA is filed under the name uncultured Nitrosomonas sp. RNAcentral describes it as "bacterial SSU rRNA". It matches the Rfam family "Bacterial small subunit ribosomal RNA", at positions 223 to 604 of the family's 1533-position model. Lineage: Bacteria; Pseudomonadati; Pseudomonadota; Betaproteobacteria; Nitrosomonadales; Nitrosomonadaceae. The record is from RNAcentral.
GGAGCGGCCGAUGUCUGAUUAGUUAGUUGGUGGGGUAAAGGCCUACCAAGGCAACGAUCAGUAGCUGGUCUGAGAGGACGAUCAGCCACACUGGGACUGAGACACGGCCCAGACUCCUACGGGAGGCAGCAGUGGGGAAUUUUGGACAAUGGGCGAAAGCCUGAUCCAGCCAUGCCGCGUGAAUGAAGAAGGCCUUCGGGUUGUAAAGUUCUUUUAGUUGGAAAGAAAAAAUUAUGAUGAAUAAUCAUAAUUCAUGACGGUACCGACAGAAAAAGCACCGGCUAACUACGUGCCAGCAGCCGCGGUAAUACGUAGGGUGCAAGCGUUAAUCGGAAUUACUGGGCGUAAAGGGUGUGCAGGCGGCCUUGUAAGUCAGAUGUGAAAGCCCC